UGAUCCGGCGCCGAAGAUUUCCGGGGCUAAAACUUACUACCGAAGCUACGGCAUCAGUAAUGAUGGGUAGGGGGGCUUCCCAUACGGGUUGAAGCAUGACCGUAAGGACAUGUGGACAGUAUGGGAGUGAGAAGGUUGGCAUGAGUAGCGAGAUGUGGGUGGGAAUCCCACAGGCCGUAAACCCAAGGUUUCCAGGGGAAGGUUCGUCCGCCCUGGGUUAGUCGGGACCUAAGCUGAGGCCGAAAGGCGUAGGUGAUGGACAACAGGUUGA
Molecule: ribosomal RNA, 271 nt
Filed under: Clostridioides difficile
Lineage: Bacteria; Bacillati; Bacillota; Clostridia; Peptostreptococcales; Peptostreptococcaceae
Description: partial 23S ribosomal RNA
Rfam family: Bacterial large subunit ribosomal RNA
Source: RNAcentral